Long non-coding RNA from Xenia sp. Carnegie-2017, 186 nucleotides. RefSeq lists it as uncharacterized. The record is from RefSeq and is a predicted model, not a curated record. The transcript is spliced from 2 exons. Lineage: Eukaryota; Metazoa; Cnidaria; Anthozoa; Malacalcyonacea; Xeniidae.
UAAAGCCCAUUUAUGUCAUUUGAGUUGAAGCAAUGCCGAAAAAAGAUGCAUCAAGAAGAAAACAUAAACCGUCUCACUUUCGAGAAGCUCGUGCAAAUUGGUUGUCAACUCUGUUUCAUCAAGAUUCCUUAUGUCGCGUAAAAUGCUCAGAUGUUCUAAAAGUGUUGAGAAAUAAAUAUAAGAGUA